AGGGAAUAUUGGGCAAUGGAUGCAAGUCUGACCCAGCCAUGCCGCGUGCAGGAAGAAGGUCCUCUGGAUUGUAAACUGCUUUUAUCGGGGAAGAAUAGUUCUCUUGCGAGGGAAUGUGACGGUACCCGAUGAAUAAGCCACGGCUAACUACGUGCCAGCAGCCGCGGUAAUACGUAGGUGGCAAGCGUUGUCCGGAUUUAUUGGGUUUAAAGGGUGCGUAGGUGGUUUUAUAAGUCAGUGGUGAAAGCUGGUUGCUCAACAAUCAAGUUGCCAUUGAUACUGUUAGACUUGAGAGAAGUGGAGGUUCAUGGAAUGGAUGGUGUAGCGGUGAAAUGCAUAGAUAUCAUCCAGAACGUCGAUUGCGAAGGCAGUGGGCUGUACUUUUUCUGACACUGAGGCACGAAAGCGUGGGGAUCAAAC
Molecule: ribosomal RNA, 420 nt
Filed under: uncultured bacterium
Lineage: Bacteria
Description: bacterial SSU rRNA
Rfam family: Bacterial small subunit ribosomal RNA
Source: RNAcentral